RNAcentral lists this ribosomal RNA (253 nucleotides) under uncultured Planctomyces sp. Its description in RNAcentral is "partial 16S ribosomal RNA". It matches the Rfam family "Bacterial small subunit ribosomal RNA", at positions 524 to 776 of the family's 1533-position model. Lineage: Bacteria; Pseudomonadati; Planctomycetota; Planctomycetia; Planctomycetales; Planctomycetaceae. The record is from RNAcentral.
CACGUACUGUGCGAACGUUAUUCGGAAUCACUGGGCUUAAAGGGUGCGUAGGCUGCGGAUCAAGUCAGGUGUGAAAUGCCGGAGCUCAACUGCGGCAUUGCGCUUGAAACUGGUUUGCUGGAGUGUUUCAGGGGUGUGGGGAACUGCCAGUGGAGCGGUGAAAUGUGUUGAUAUUGGCAGGAACACCGGAGGCGAAAGCGCCACACUGGGGAACAACUGACGCUGAGGCACGAAAGCCAGGGGAGCGAACGGG